GGCCUGUGCAUCAAAGGGGUGAGACUUCGACCGUGCUUCUGCAGGGGCCGGCGGGGCUACGGGGCAGGUACCAGAUUUUGUAAGCUGGUGGCAGUGAAAUUUACAUCAGUGCCGAAUUGUGCACCUCCUCCUCAUUUUUAACGAAAUGUAAUAAAUUUUAUAAUGUUUUCUAUUUUUAUAUGCUCGGGCGGCAAGUAUUCUUCCUACUUGUGUGAUCGAUACAGGUUCUACUAUUAUUGUUUUAAACUCUUGGAAAUUUCAUCAGAUUCCUGAGACAGAUAGACCUGAAUUUACAAGUCGGUGAAAAAUAGCCGAUGGUAGUAUUAUACGCAUCCUGGAAAAGGCUGAAUUUAUUUUUGAUAUUGGUUUUAAAUUAUAAAA
This 381-nucleotide long non-coding RNA is filed under the name Mytilus galloprovincialis (Mediterranean mussel). Lineage: Eukaryota; Metazoa; Mollusca; Bivalvia; Mytilida; Mytilidae. The record is from RNAcentral.